Molecule: ribosomal RNA, 843 nt
Filed under: uncultured bacterium
Lineage: Bacteria
Description: bacterial SSU rRNA
Rfam family: Bacterial small subunit ribosomal RNA
Source: RNAcentral
GNAAUUAUUGGGCGUAAAGCGCGCGCAGGCGGAUCAGUCAGUCUNUCUUAAAGGUUCGGGGCUUAACCCCGUGAUGGGAUGGAAACUGCUGAUCUAGAGUAUCGGAGAGGAAAGUGGAAUUCCUAGUGUAGCGGUGAAAUGCGUAGAUAUUAGGAAGAACACCAGUGGCGAAGGCGACUUUCUGGACGAAAACUGACGCUGAGGCGCGUAAGCCAGGGGAGCGAACGGGAUUAGAUACCCCGGUAGUCCUGGCCGUAAACGAUGGGUACUAGGUGUAGGAGGUAUCGACCCCUUCUGUGCCGGAGUUAACGCAAUAAGUACCCCGCCUGGGGAGUACGACCGCAAGGUUGAAACUCAAAGGAAUUGACGGGGGCCCGCACAAGCGGUGGAGUAUGUGGUUUAAUUCGACGCAACGCGAAGAACCUUACCAGGUCUUGACAUUGAUGGACAGAACUAGAGAUAGUUCCUCUUCUUCGGAAGCCAGAAAACAGGUGGUGCACGGUUGUCGUCAGCUCGUGUCGUGAGAUGUUGGGUUAANNCCCGCAACGAGCGCAACCCCUAUCUUAUGUUGCCAGCACGUAAUGGUGGGAACUCAUGAGAGACUGCCGCAGACAAAGCGGAGGAAGGCGGGGAUGACGUCAAAUCAUCAUGCCCCUUAUGACCUGGGCUACACACGUACUACAAUGGGAGUUAAUAGACGGAAGCGAGAUCGCGAGAUGGAGCAAACCCGAGAAACACUCUCUCAGUUCGGAUCGUAGGCUGCAACUCGCCUACGUGAAGUCGGAAUCGCUAGUAAUCGCAGGUCAGCAUACUGCGGUGAAUACGUUCCCGGGCCUUGUACAC